AACGCAAAUUGCACUCUCUUUUGGGGGAGUAUGCCUGUUUGAGGGUCAGCCUAAAUAAAAUCGGCUUCGUUGCUGUUUUCGCGGUAAUGUUUGUCGGAUAUUGGGUUAUCUUAAACUUUUUGGUUUAAGUGACUUAAAAUUUUAUCUUAAACGACUCUACGAACGUUUCUAAGAUAAUAAUCUUUUACGUUCAAGGUAUCGAAACACUUAUUAGACGUGACCGUUACAUCGGAUUUCGUCCAUAAUUUUUUCUUUACUGACAUUAAACAGGUAAGAGUACCCGCUGAACUUAA
RNAcentral lists this unclassified non-coding RNA (293 nucleotides) under uncultured fungus. Its description in RNAcentral is "partial contains 5.8S ribosomal RNA, internal transcribed spacer 2, and large subunit ribosomal RNA". The record is from RNAcentral. Lineage: Eukaryota; Fungi.